AGGACGAACGCUGGCGGCGUGCUUAACACAUGCAAGUCGAGCGGUAAGGCCUUUCGGGGUACACGAGCGGCGAACGGGUGAGUAACACGUGGGUGAUCUGCCCUGCACUUCGGGAUAAGCCUGGGAAACUGGGUCUAAUACCGGAUAUGACCUCCUAUCGCAUGGUGGGUGGUGGAAAGAUUUAUCGGUGCAGGAUGGGCCCGCGGCCUAUCAGCUUGUUGGUGGGGUAAUGGCCUACCAAGGCGACGACGGGUAGCCGACCUGAGAGGGUGACCGGCCA
Molecule: ribosomal RNA, 280 nt
Filed under: uncultured soil bacterium
Lineage: Bacteria
Description: partial 16S ribosomal RNA
Rfam family: Bacterial small subunit ribosomal RNA
Source: RNAcentral